RNAcentral lists this ribosomal RNA (546 nucleotides) under uncultured bacterium. Its description in RNAcentral is "bacterial SSU rRNA". It matches the Rfam family "Bacterial small subunit ribosomal RNA", at positions 8 to 524 of the family's 1533-position model. The record is from RNAcentral.
AGGGUUUGAUCCUGGCUCAGGAUGAACGCUGGCGGCAUGCCUAAUACAUGCAAGUCGAACGAACUACCUCUAUGACCUAAAAAGUGCUUGCACUGGAUAGUAAUUAGAAUUUGUAGUUAGUGGCGGACGGGUGAGUAACACGUGGGUUACCUGCCACACAGAAUGGAAUAACUAUUGGAAACGAUAGCUAAUACCGUAUAUGACCUUCGGGUUGAAAGGGGCGUUUGCCUCGCUGUGUGAUGGGCCUGCGGCGCAUUAGCUAGUUGGUAAGGUAAAGGCUUACCAAGGCGACGAUGCGUAGCCGGACUGAGAGGUCGAUCGGCCACAUUGGGACUGAGACACGGCCCAAACUUCUACGGGAGGCAGCAGUAGGGAAUUUUCCGCAAUGGACGAAAGUCUGACGGAGCAAUGCCGCGUGAGUGAUGAAGGUUUUCGAAUCGUAAAGCUCUGUUGUAAGGGAAGAACAGCACUAGUAGGAAAUGGCUAGUGUGUGACGGUACCUUACCAGAAAGCCACGGCUAACUACGUGCCAGCAGCCGCGGUAAU